CGACAAAUACCGGGCAGAUGUCGACUUAAGCAAUGGCUUGAGGGCUCUUGAGGCUAUGGCCUUGAAGGUAAGCUCGUCGGUUGUUUUUACAUUAUUUUUGUUAUCUUGACGUCCCGAGGUUAACCAUGCACCAUUUUGCAGACACUGGGAAUAGCUCGGGGCCUUUCCUUGAAGGAAAAGGACGAGUCUUCACGAAUGGCCGACCUCGAGGGGGCCGUUUCUGCUCGGGAUCUAAGGAUUGCCGACCUCGAGGAGGAGCGCGCUCGGCUAUUGAGGGAGCUUGAGCAUAUGCGAAAUGAUCUACGCAGUGCUCAGGGUGAGGCCGGUACUGCGAAGGCUGAGGCUGAGCACUCCAAGCUCGAGCUCGAUCAGCUUAAAAAAGAUUUUGAUGCGAAGCUGGCCAAUGCUCGAGAGGAAGCGAUCGAGGACUUCAAGAAGUCUGACGCCUUCAACGAGUUAAAGGGUGAUUAUGCUAUGGGCUCUUACUUUCAUGCCCUGAAGGAAGCUCGAGCUUUCAUGCGCCUGAGGCCGGAUGCUCGCCCUGAGGAUCUGAAGUCAAUCCCCGAGGUGGCUGAUGACCUUCAUCUUUCAGAGUCUGAAGAAAACGCUGGGGAUGAAGACGUCGAUAUCGAGGGUGAUGAUGCCGAGGAAGGCCAAGGCAGUCAGGACACUGACGCCUAAAUUUACCGAGCUUAUCCUGUAUUGUUAUUUUUUGUAAUUGUAAAAUGCCCGAUCUUAAUGGAGAUUGUUUUUUUCUUUUGACCGAGCUUAUUUUGUAUUAUCGUCGUGUUUCUAUUUUCAUAUGCG
Molecule: long non-coding RNA, 807 nt
Filed under: Olea europaea subsp. europaea
Lineage: Eukaryota; Viridiplantae; Streptophyta; Magnoliopsida; Lamiales; Oleaceae
Source: RNAcentral